RNAcentral lists this ribosomal RNA (649 nucleotides) under uncultured bacterium. Its description in RNAcentral is "bacterial SSU rRNA". It matches the Rfam family "Bacterial small subunit ribosomal RNA", at positions 748 to 1395 of the family's 1533-position model. The record is from RNAcentral.
GAGGAGCGAGAGCAUGGGUAGCGAACAGGAUUAGAUACCCUGGUAGUCCAUGCUGUAAACGGUGGGCGCUAGGUGUGGGGACUUUCCAUGGUUUCCGUGUCGUAGCUAACGCGUUAAGCGCCCCGCCUGGGGAGUACGGCCGCAAGGCUAAAACUCAAAGGAAUUGACGGGGGCCCGCACAAGCGGCGGAGCAUGUGGAUUAAUUCGAUGCAACGCGAAGAACCUUACCUGGGUUUGACAUGCACUAGAUGAGGCGAGAGAUCGUCUGUCCCUUUGUGGCUGGUGUGCAGGUGGUGCAUGGUUGUCGUCAGCUCGUGUCGUGAGAUGUUGGGUUAAGUCCCGCAACGAGCGUAACCCUUGUCUUAUGUUGCCAGCACGUUGUGGUGGGGACUCGUGAGAGACUGCCGGGGUGAACUCGGAGGAAGGUGGGGAUGACGUCAAAUCAUCAUGCCCCUUAUGUCCAGGGCUUCACACAUGCUACAAUGGCCGGUACAGUAGGUUGCGAGACCGUGAGGUGGAGCUAAUCCUUUAAAGCUGGUCGUAGUUCGGAUUGGGGUCUGCAACUCGACCCCAUGAAGUCGGAGUCGCUAGUAAUCGCAGAUCAGCAACGCUGCGGUGAAUACGUUCCCGGGCCUUGUACACACCGCCC